UGGGGAAUAUUGCACAAUGGGCGAAAGCCUGAUGCAGCAACGCCGCGUGAGGGACGACGGCCUUCGGGUUGUAAACCUCUUUUAGCAAGGAAGAAGCGAAAGUGACGGUACUUGCAGAAAAAGCGCCGGCUAACUACGUGCCAGCAGCCGCGGUAAUACGUAGGGCGCAAGCGUUAUCCGGAAUUAUUGGGCGUAAAGAGCUCGUAGGCGGUUUGUCGCGUCUGCUGUGAAAACCCGAGGCUCAACCUCGGGCCUGCAGUGGGUACGGGCAGACUAGAGUGCGGUAGGGGAGAUUGGAACUCCUGGUGUAGCGGUGGAAUGCGCAGAUAUCAGGAAGAACACCGAUGGCGAAGGCAGAUCUCUGGGCCGUAACUGACGCUGAGGAGCGAAAGGGUGGGGAGCAAACAGGCUUAGAUACCCUGGUAGUCCACCCGUAAACGUUGGGAACUAGUUGUGGGGUCCAUUCCACGGAUUCCGUGACGCAGCUAACGCAUUAAGUUCCCCGCCUGGGGAGUACGGCCGCAAGG
Molecule: ribosomal RNA, 527 nt
Filed under: uncultured bacterium
Lineage: Bacteria
Description: partial 16S ribosomal RNA
Rfam family: Bacterial small subunit ribosomal RNA
Source: RNAcentral